RNAcentral lists this ribosomal RNA (407 nucleotides) under uncultured bacterium. Its description in RNAcentral is "bacterial SSU rRNA". It matches the Rfam family "Bacterial small subunit ribosomal RNA", at positions 976 to 1381 of the family's 1533-position model. The record is from RNAcentral.
UAGCCUUGACAUACUACAGAAUUUGACAGAGAUGUUGAAGUGCCUUCGGGAGCUGUAAUACAGGUGCUGCACGGCUGUCGUCAGCUCGUGUCGUGAGAUGUUGGGUUAAGUCCCGCAACGAGCGCAACCCUUGCCUCUAGUUACCAGCGAGUAAUGUCGGGGACUCUAGAGGGACUGCCGGUGAUAAACUGGAGGAAGGUGGGGAUGACGUCAAGUCCUCAUGGCCCUUACAUCCCGGGCUACACACGUGCUACAAUGGCCGGUACAACGAGUCGCAAUACCGCGAGGUGGAGCUAAUCUCUUAAAACCGGUCUCAGUUCGGAUUGCAGUCUGCAACUCGACUGCAUGAAGCCGGAAUCGCUAGUAAUCGCGGAUCAGCACGCCGUGGUGAAUACGUUCCCGGGCCU